Molecule: long non-coding RNA, 233 nt
Filed under: Pan troglodytes (chimpanzee)
Lineage: Eukaryota; Metazoa; Chordata; Mammalia; Primates; Hominidae
Description: long non-coding RNA NONPTRT013251
Source: RNAcentral
UUUAUGUGUAUCCUGUGCACCCUCAUUCCAUCUCCAUGAGUUCUGUGAUGUAGGUUAGAUUGGAUCACAAUGGAAAAUUUUUGAAUGCAGAUGUUCAAGGAGUUCAUUCUGAGAAUGGACCAGUUUUGGUUGAAGAACUGGGAAAGAAGCACACAUCAAAGAACCUCAAGGCACCUCCCCCAGAAAGCUGGAACACAGUGUCAGGGAAGAAGAUGAAAAAACCUUCCACUUCU